GAGGCUCAUGAGUGCUCCCGGGCAAGCAGGCCGGUCACUCUUGCAGUGCCUACCCCCCCAUCUCUUUAUAGCACUUCUGUCUCUGUCUCCGAAAUCUCAAGGGAAGCGCCGGGUGACACACUGCAAAGCUUUUCUUUGAGCAUUUUCCCUUUUGCAUGCAUCCUAGCAUGGACUGCUGCUGAUUUUGUGUUCUUUACACUUGAAAAAAAUUGUCCAAUGUAAAAGAUACACAAAGACACAUUUUACAUUGUGAUAUAACAAACUAAUUUAAAUAUUGAAAGAUAUUUUAUGAAUUUUGAUACUGAAAUUGUAUAUACAGUGAACUCAAUAAAAAAUGUAAGUGGA
Non-coding RNA from Vicugna pacos (alpaca), 345 nucleotides. Lineage: Eukaryota; Metazoa; Chordata; Mammalia; Artiodactyla; Camelidae. The record is from RefSeq and is a predicted model, not a curated record.